UACUGCACUGACCACUCCAGUAGUGUAGACUAAUUAAAUUUUGGGCAGGGCUCAGUGACAUUCCAAACUGAAGUGAAAUAUCAACCAAACUAGAGGAGCUGAAAAGAGCCUUGAGAGAGAACUUAAUAUUAGUGAUUUUCAACUGGUAUGGGAAAAAGCUGGUGUUCUUUCAGGACGCUGGGACUCUAUUGGUAUUCUGUUAGGAAUCAGCUACAAGUUAUAUGAGAUUGAAGCAGGGGGCAAACCACCAAGAACUUGUCUACGGAAAGUAUUUGAUUGCUGGUUAAAGAAGGACCAUGACUAUAAGAGUCAUGGUGUCCCUACAUUAAGAAUGCUGUGUAACUCCAUUAAAAGUAAUAGUGGAGGAGCUGAUCCAGCUCUAGCUGAUGAAAUAGCAAAAGAAUUUAAUCUUACUAGUAGUGGAGAAGCUACUACAUCACCAGUUGAUACUUCAUCUUCUAAAGAAGCUACUCCAACUGUUGAGCUACCAGUUCCUACUUCACCUCAAUUUGAGUCUUCAGUUGUUUACAUUAAGAAGAAAUCAAUUGAAUAUUCAUCAAAUAACCUGACAUGAAUAAUUGGAGACCUAAAAGAAGUUUACCUUGAUAAUACAUGUAUCAUAUAGAGAAGUCCUUCCGCUCUCUUGACGUCUCAGAAGUUAUCAAUUUCAUUAAACAUUACAUUGCACUUUUACUCACUUUUGCCAGAGACGACUACACAUUAAAUGAUUUAUAUUUCUUUCACAAGCUAAUCGCUGAUGCACUUGAAGUUCCUCAAUAUAAUUUAUAUUUUUGUACGAUUGAUGAUGACUGCAUGGAAUUAAAAUAUUCCAUUCCUGAUUUUCUUUAUUUUGAUCUCUUUCCAGCAACCAAUCAACAGUGUCAUUCAUUGGCUGAGAUUGAAAUCAUAAAAAUUACUUGUCAUGAAUAUGUACAUAAAAAGAAGCAGUUGCCAGAAAAUGAAUUAAAGAAGCU
This 974-nucleotide long non-coding RNA is filed under the name Amphimedon queenslandica. RNAcentral describes it as "uncharacterized LOC109590282". The record is from RNAcentral. Lineage: Eukaryota; Metazoa; Porifera; Demospongiae; Haplosclerida; Niphatidae.